Molecule: ribosomal RNA, 798 nt
Filed under: uncultured Sphingobacteriia bacterium
Lineage: Bacteria; Pseudomonadati; Bacteroidota; Sphingobacteriia
Description: bacterial SSU rRNA
Rfam family: Bacterial small subunit ribosomal RNA
Source: RNAcentral
AUAGAAGAGCUUGCUUUUCUUGAGAGUGGCGCACGGGUGCGUAACACGUAUGUAACCUACCCAUAUCAGGGGGAUAGCCUCUCGAAAGAGAGAUUAAGCCCGCAUAAUAUCAGUUUAUAGCAUUAUAGAGUGAUCAAAUAUUUAUAGGAUAUGGAUGGGCAUGCGGAACAUUAGCUAGUUGGUAAGGUAACGGCUUACCAAGGCUACGAUGUUUAGGGGAUCUGAGAGGAUGACCCCCCACACUGGUACUGAGACACGGACCAGACUCCUACGGGAGGCAGCAGUAAGGAAUAUUGGUCAAUGGGCGGAAGCCUGAACCAGCCAUGCCGCGUGCAGGAAGACGGCCCUACGGGUUGUAAACUGCUUUUGCAGGGGAAUAAACCUCGUUACGUGUAACGAGUUGAAUGUACUCUGAGAAUAAGGAUCGGCUAACUCCGUGCCAGCAGCCGCGGUAAUACGGAGGAUCCGAGCGUUAUCCGGAUUUAUUGGGUUUAAAGGGUGCGUAGGCGGCCUAUUAAGUCAGGGGUGAAAGACGGUAGCUUAACUAUCGCAGUGCCUUUGAUACUGAUGGGCUUGAAUGUAGUUGAGGUAGGCGGAAUGUGACAAGUAGCGGUGAAAUGCAUAGAUAUGUCACAGAACACCAAUUGCGAAGGCAGCUUACUAAAGUAUGAUUGACGCUGAGGCACGAAAGCGUGGGGAUCAAACAGGAUUAGAUACCCUGGUAGUCCACGCCCUAAACGAUGAAUACUCGAUGUUGGCGAUAUACAGUCAGCGUCAAAGCCGAAAGCGUUAAGUAUU